CCGACGGUGAGGGAUGAAGGCUGGGGGCGCAAACCGGAUUAGAUAGCCGGGUAGUCCCAGCAGUAAACGAUGCCAGCUAUGUGUUGCUGGAACCAUGGGUUCCAGCAGUGCCGAAGGGAAGCCGUGAGGCUGGCCACCUGGGAAGUACGGUCGCAAGGCUGAAACUUAAAGGAAUUGGCGGGGGAGUACCACAACCGGUGGAGCCUGCGGUUUAAUUGGAUACAACGCCGGGAAUCUUACCGGAGGGGACAGCAGUAUGAAGGCCAGGCUAAAGACCUUGCCAGAUCAGCUGAGAGGAGGUGCAUGGCCGUCGCCAGUUCGUACCGUGAGGCAUCCUGUUUAGUCAGGCAACGAUCGAGACCCGCAGUCUUAUUUGCCAGCAUGCCCUUUGGGGUGUAUGGGUACAAUAAGACGACCGCCAGCGCUAAGCUGGAGGAAGGAGCGGGCUACGGUAGGUCAGCAUGCCCCGAAUCCUCCGGGAUACACGCGGGCUACAAUGGUCAGGACAAAAGGUACCGACCUCGAAAGAGUGAGGU
This 536-nucleotide ribosomal RNA is filed under the name uncultured archaeon. Its description in RNAcentral is "bacterial SSU rRNA". It matches the Rfam family "Archaeal small subunit ribosomal RNA", at positions 691 to 1225 of the family's 1478-position model. The record is from RNAcentral.